This 422-nucleotide long non-coding RNA is filed under the name Capsicum annuum. RNAcentral describes it as "long non-coding RNA (CANN_LNC017479)". The record is from RNAcentral. Lineage: Eukaryota; Viridiplantae; Streptophyta; Magnoliopsida; Solanales; Solanaceae.
CCAAGAAUGUUGGGAAAUCUACGGACACUCGACAGACUCCUCCAACUAGAGUGAAGGUUUGGCCGUCAAUACCACAGAAGACUCUGGAGGCCUUAAUCGAAGCUGGGCAUGGUGGAUCUGGUUGAAACAUAGGGUAUAUGGUUCAGGAACCUUCUAUUUACGAGAAAUCUAUAAUUACAGAGGUUAACACGACGGAGCAGUCGACCUAGAGGAAAUUAGAGCUCAAACCCAGCAAUGAGGAACCUCAAAAAUGGACUAACUUCUUUUCUGGGGCUAGGGUACAUAUUUAAUUUUCAUCCCCCACCCCCACCCCCACCCCCCCAACUACACAAAAUGGUGAUGCAUUUGUUGCACUUAGCCAGGAAACGAUGGCACUAAAAUUGGGAAAUAAAAGUCCACGCUUAUAUUGUAUAUAGUGCGGG